Molecule: transfer RNA, 66 nt
Filed under: Poropanchax normani
Lineage: Eukaryota; Metazoa; Chordata; Actinopteri; Cyprinodontiformes; Procatopodidae
Description: tRNA-Cys
Rfam family: tRNA
About the family: Transfer RNA (tRNA) molecules are approximately 80 nucleotides in length. Their secondary structure includes four short double-helical elements and three loops (D, anti-codon, and T loops). Further hydrogen bonds mediate the characteristic L-shaped molecular structure. tRNAs have two regions of fundamental functional importance: the anti-codon, which is responsible for specific mRNA codon recognition, and the 3' end, to which the tRNAs corresponding amino acid is attached (by aminoacyl-tRNA synthetases). tRNAs cope with the degeneracy of the genetic code in two manners: having more than one tRNA (with a specific anti-codon) for a particular amino acid; and 'wobble' base-pairing, i.e. permitting non-standard base-pairing at the 3rd anti-codon position.
Source: RNAcentral
AGCUCUGGAGUGUUAUAAUGUAAGAUUGCAAAUCUUAAGAUGUAGGUUCGCAGCCUACUAGAGCUU